Non-coding RNA from Otolemur garnettii (small-eared galago), 211 nucleotides. The record is from Rfam. Lineage: Eukaryota; Metazoa; Chordata; Mammalia; Primates; Galagidae.
AAGACUGUACUUUCAGGGAUCAUUUCUACAGUUUGUUACUAGAGAAGUCUCUCUGAAUGUGUAGCGCACCAAAAACCAUGAGGAGGAGGUGGAGUGUUUUCUUCUGAGGGUGAAGUCGGCAUUUGGUGUUGCAGUUGCUGUAACUGCCACUUGCUGUUGAUAAUCGUUCUUCUCUUACAAGAGAAGUGAGAGGGAAAAAAUGCUGAGUGAU